CUGUAACACCCUAAAAAUUGUUUUCUGGGAAAUAGAGCUAAAAUGAUUUAAUUAUGAAUUUUUGUGCUCAUGAGAAUAUAGGAAGAAUAAUAUUUUUCAUUAAAAUAAAAUUUAUCAUAGGAUUAGUAAUCUGGUUGUGCAUUCAUGCUGGAGAAUUUAUUUUUGUGAUGAGUGUAUUUGAACCUAAAAUUAAAAAUGAUUUAAAAAUGAUUUUGGAAAACUAUUUUGGAAGAAAAAAAAAGAAAAAAAGGAAAAGACCCCGCGGCCCAGUUCCCUCGCUCGGCCCGAAGCGCAGCCAGCGGGCGCCCUCCUCCCCUUUCGCUCUUCCCUCGCUGACGAGCCGGCCCCGCAGCGCAGCGCCUCCCUCUUCUUCUUCACGUAAUCGAGACGGACUUGCCCUCCCCGAUCGCGAACCGAUCCCAGGAAAGCCGUGAUCUCUUGCCAUUUUCGCGAACCGUGACCAUAUAAAGCCUAUUCCCCCAAAGCCGCAGCCUUCCUUUGCAUCUAAAUCGCCAGUCGAAGCCCUAGAAGGCGUCGUCUACGCGGUUCGGGAUCUCGCCGAAAACUCGGGGCUUGCCAACCGUCUCUGUGCCUUCUCAGCUCGAGCAAACCAUCCUAGCGAGUUCGGGGUAAGCUCCUCCGCGCGUUGGUAUUUUUAUUUUGGAGUUUCGUGCUUGGAAACGAGAAACCCGCGAACGCCGGCGAGCUUCCCAACGGUGGCCAUGGCGCCACCGAGCCGGUGCUGAGCUCCGGCCGGCCAGCCGCCCGCCAACCCCCCUGAUGUAUCUGGACCAUACGAUCGAAGACUAACGGAUAGGAUUAGAAGAUACCUUUUCGCAGUGAAUCUUCAUAAAGAGUCCCUAAAGUAUUUUAGUAAUUACUCCACAGUCCCUGGCGCCCUGAGCAGUAAAGCGUAUUCCAAUGGUUUGAGCAAAAUACGUUUUCCAGAAAUUACAGUUUUGCCAUUAAAUUUGUUUUGCUUAUAAAAUAUUCGUUUUAACUCCGUUUUUGUCCAUUCAAAUUCCGUUGGAUUCGUAUUUACGAUCUCUACAUGUUAGAAAUAUUAGUUUACUGUUUUGAAACUUUUUAAUUCUGCAGUAGCAUUUAAUUAAUUAUUUAUUUAUAAGAAAUCUUAGAAAAAUCAUAACUUCUACGUUUUAACUCCGAUUUUCGUGAUCUUUACGUUUGUGUGAUCGUAGUGCUGCGUAGAAUGUUUUCAUAAACUUUUAUCUUUUAUUUCUCACUGUUUGGUGUAUUGUUCUAAUUUUAGCUUGUUUGCUUCGUGUAUGAUUGUCUACAUUGGAUUGCGUGUAGUUGAUUGAUGAUUGAGUUUAGACGUGAGCCGUACGUUGGUGAGCAAGAUCAAGCUUUUGGACGACCAGCAGGCUCAGGAGAGCUUUGAUCAAGGCAAGUAUAACUUGGGACUAUCCUUGUUACCUAUACACAAUUAAUAUAACAUUUAUCAUAUGCAUGUGUCCACCUUGAUGACCGUAGCAAAAUCAUAGAUGAUUGUUAUCCUGGAUUCCUUGUUACCUAUUUUGGAUAUGCAUUUGGUAGUUCUUGCUAGUGCUUGAUGAUUAAUCUAUGAUCUUGUAACAUGAAUAUUUGAAUAUACAAUAAACAAUAAAAUAAGCUUUCUAGCAACUUGAAUAUAAAGGGUGGAAAGAACUCUGGCUUUUGCUGGAUUGAUCUUGACCCUCCGUAAGGACUUAUCCCUUGGCAAAAGCUGGGACAACUCGUACAACCAUGAGGGCUAUAUGGCUCUGGCUUUAGUCAAGUAUGAGUAAUUUUUCUAGCUUGUUAGCGGUUACCCGAAAGGGCGGAGGGGCUGAACCGUUUUGGGUAUAGUGCGAGCCCCUGUCCUUAUGAGUAUAGGCUGCGCGUCAUUGUGCCAUUUGGAAGGGGGGUAUCUAUAUCUGCGCAAAGGAAACCUUGCGGCCCUAACUUGUUAGACGAACCUUUGAAAGACUUCAUAGUGAACCCUGUCGGCUUUCCUGGGAAGUGAGCUAAGAGGUCGACGGGCCUCGGGUGAAAGGGUAAAUCAUGACUCAUGGGUAAAGAUGUACAACCUCUGCAGAGUGUUAAAUCUGGUAUGCUAGCCGUGCCCACGUAUACGGGCGGCCCGGAAAACUGACGGAAUAGAUGGACACUGAUGAAUAUGACUAAUGAUAAUAAAUGAUGGUUUAUUAUGUUGUUUACAUGUGUUAUUCUUAAUUCUUGUAUACAUUGAUCAUGUGGUUAUGGGAUUAAUUAUGCUACCUUGAUAUUUGCUAGCCAAUGAUUAAAUAUGCUAUCUACAUAUAAAAGCUAAAUGCAGUCAAACCAGUGUCAGCUAUUUGAGCCUCAUGAACCCCUGGUUAUACUUGUUGAGUACGAUAUGUGCUCACUCUUGCAAUUUCCCCCACACUUCAGGAGAUGUUAGGCUUGUGCUCAACCAGUCAGUUGGAUCCUGUGGAGAGAAGUUAAUACCCGAAGUUUGAUGUUGUCUAUCCGCUGUUUGCUAUCAAAGGUUAUAUCUUUUAUACUACGUUCGUUAUAUAAUUUAUGCAUUAUCUUUUGAUAUUACCCCUUAUUUUGUAGCUAUAUGUGAGAUUUGGCUUUUAAAACUCACAUAUGGUGUAUAUCUGGUUUUGUCCUUAAAAUCGGGUAUUACAAAGUGGUAUCAAAGCAAUGCUGACUGUAGGACGCAAGCCUAGUUAGAAAUUGGUCAUCUUAAGGUUUUGGAAUUGUCAUAAAAUCCUUGCUCUAUAAACCUUGAUAUUUUCAUCCAUACUAUAUCCCUAUCCUUGCUAUUUCUCUACCUUGUUGCUUAUUUUAAGAGUAUUUGCUCUCACCUUCACUCCUUGAUUUGGUAUGCUAUUAGAACCUUUUCUUACCACCUUCUUGUGUCCUUGAAAUAUAAGUUUUAGGAUCUUUACCCUUAAUAGGAAGAGAACGAUAGUACCGCAAGUUGAGUUAAUGCUUGAAGUGUGAACCUUUGAUGCUUGGUUUGGUUUGUUAUUAUGCUUAUGAUUGAUUUGGAUCUUUGUAAUGAGUGCAAUGAUCUUGUGGGUUUUCUCCACGAUAUCAUUUAGUUUAUAGGCCUAAGGCAUAAGGAGUAGUGAAAUAAGUAGUUGGGUUUGGUUAUAUCCUGUUUCUAUCCUUUGCUGUUUUCUGAAGCAGACUGCAAUAAUUCUGGUGUAUCUCAAGUUCUGAUCAUGCAACGUCUAUCAAAUUUUUCUGGGAACAACUAGACUUCAAGAUAUUUCUCCGACCGCAAGGAUCACCCUCAUAUCUAUUAUGGUUUGGAAGUUACAAAAAUCACAAGAUGAUACAUAUGUGCUGUCAGGAAUCUGGAUCAGUUCGGUUGCCUACUGUUCUAGACAAAUAUAACUAUAGAAUUUGGAAAAGUGUUCUAUAGAAGAGUUGUAGACAAUUUUCUAAGCUUUCCAACGGUGUAAGCUAGAACUUAUUUGGAUAAGUAGAACCUGAGAUAUGACAGAUGCAAUUGGAUGUUUCUGUUCUAUUUCAAAGUCUGGACAGUCCUAGUAUUUCCUAAUUUCAGCCAAAUUAACUUCAUAAUCUGGGAAAAAGUUGUAUACAAAAGUUUCAGAGGAUUUCAUAAGCUUUUCAACAUUGUAAGGAUCGUCAUUAUAUGGUUUCUAUGGCUCAUGAUAUGACUGUUUCAAGAUGCUGUGUCUGUGUUGUCAGACUUCCUGGACAGAUUUUAUGUUGGAUUAUCAAACCUUAUUUUAACGCCCGAAUAUGGGGAAGUGAUCAACAAGAAAGUUGUGGAGAAUUUGAUAAGCUUUCCAGCAGUGUAGACCAUAACUCUAUCAGGUUGACGGAACAUUAGUUGUAGCUGGUUUACUAAGUUGUUGUUUUUCAUCUUGCGAGGAAUUUCUGAUUUCUUGUUCUUGUCUAUGUAUAUGAGUUCUCUUGGAUAUAAGAAGCUCUUUUAUGGUAGUUAACCUACUCAUAAGAAUGUUCAAGACAUCCUUGGUAUCCCCUAGCUGAUCUCAUCUUAAGGGGGGUAGCCAAGCUAUAGAAGUUGCAAGACAAAGGUUUUAUGUGUUCAAGUAUUUUAUUUGGAAGAUCUGUUAUUCCUUUGGUGGACAACUCCCUAUCAACCACAAAUAUCUUUGCUCAAGAGUGGUUACUCUUUGCACCAAUGAGUUCAGGUAUUCGUCAAGAUUGGUCUCCACAUUGAGCUAUUAUCAAAUGGAGGUUCAACUUCCAACAUGCCCAAGACAAGAUGACAUUAAUGAUAUUGGAAAGAGAUAUCGAACAUCUACGGAUGAUUCUUCAGAGAGUUAUGAAACCUUAUUAUUUCACCAUGCAUGGCUAGUAAGUUUUGAGUGAACUAAGUUCUCUAAAUUGAAUAUGUUGUCUCUAGUGGUGGGAUUAUGGAGAAGUAUAUGUCGAUGCCAGAGCUCUUAUCAUAAAGAGUGUGCUAGGAAAAGUUUGGACAACACCUAGAUUUGAGGAUUUGUGUGCGGAGGUUGAGUGAUAUUACUAACACUACAAAUUUGGAAAUUAAUAGGGCUCACUUUGGAAGAAGGAGAAGGAUGAUUGUGAAAUGGGACGAUGAAAGUAAUAAGGAGAAAGUUGAGUAUAUCAUGGUUGGAAAUGCAUCAGGUUUUAAAUGGAUGGGCAAGGAACAUAUACCCCAGAUAAGCUAUGAGUAAAAAAAAAACCUUAUCUAUACGAAUUACAUUGCUGAACUCUUGGGAACCAUUGAUGGAGAUGUUCGGAGUGACAAAGGCCAUAGAAUGGUUACUAAGAAAGAGCUACUCAAGGAAGUGAACAAGGUUCAAAAGCGGAGUAUCUACAUCUCUUUGAUCACCAUCUUCCGAAUCUCGAGGACGAGAUUCAUCUUAAGGGGGGUAGAUUUGUAACACCCUAAAAAUUGUUUUCUGGGAAAUAGAGCUAAAAUGAUUUAAUUAUGAAUUUUUGUGCUCAUGAGAAUAUAGGAAGAAUAAUAUUUUUCAUUAAAAUAAAAUUUAUCAUAGGAUUAGUAAUCUGGUUGUGCAUUCAUGCUGGAGAAUUUAUUUUUGUGAUGAGUGUAUUUGAACCUAAAAUUAAAAAUGAUUUAAAAAUGAUUUUGGAAAACUAUUUUGGAAGAAAAAAAAAAGAAAAAAAGGAAAAGACCCCGCGGCCCAGUUCCCUCGCUCGGCCCGAAGCGCAGCCAGCGGGCGCCCUCCUCCCCUUUCGCUCUUCCCUCGCUGACGAGCCGGCCCCGCAGCGCAGCGCCUCCCUCUUCUUCUUCACGUAAUCGAGACGGACUUGCCCUCCCCGAUCGCGAACCGAUCCCAGGAAAGCCGUGAUCUCUUGCCAUUUUCGCGAACCGUGACCAUAUAAAGCCUAUUCCCCCAAAGCCGCAGCCUUCCUUUGCAUCUAAAUCGCCAGUCGAAGCCCUAGAAGGCGUCGUCUACGCGGUUCGGGAUCUCGCCGAAAACUCGGGGCUUGCCAACCGUCUCUGUGCCUUCUCAGCUCGAGCAAACCAUCCUAGCGAGUUCGGGGUAAGCUCCUCCGCGCGUUGGUAUUUUUAUUUUGGAGUUUGGUGCUUGGAAACGAGAAACCCGCGAACGCCGGCGAGCUUCCCAACGGUGGCCAUGGCGCCACCGAGCCGGUGCUGAGCUCCGGCCGGCCAGCCGCCCGCCAACCCCCCUGAUGUAUCUGGACCAUACGAUCGAAGACUAACGGAUAGGAUUAGAAGAUACCUUUUCGCAGUGAAUCUUCAUAAAGAGUCCCUAAAGUAUUUUAGUAAUUACUCCACAGUCCCUGGCGCCC
This 5772-nucleotide long non-coding RNA is filed under the name Sorghum bicolor (sorghum). RNAcentral's name for it is "long non-coding RNA (SBIC_LNC004503)". Lineage: Eukaryota; Viridiplantae; Streptophyta; Magnoliopsida; Poales; Poaceae. The record is from RNAcentral.